UGAGCCCUUCCGGCCUCCUACACCGGGGUGCCCGCUCAGCUCUUGGUGUGGCCAAGUUGCUCCCCCAGGACCUCCCUGAGAAGCAGGGACACGCUGAGUCCUCUGGCAGCUUCGUGGGAUCCCGUCCCCUAGAGCUUUUGCUGAUUGGCCCAGGCCUCCACGGGGAAAGCCACACUUAGCGAUGCUGAUAGGGAUACCUGUCUCUGGCCCUUGGCUGUCGGCCAGGAGCGUGCCGUUCCUCUGGAAAUGACCCACUCAGUGGUUUCUCUGGUUCACUAGCGCUGUGUGAUCAGAACAAGGUCAGGCCAUUAGGGGCACCUCCAGGAACAGGCUCUGGAGAACGAAGAAGAGCUUGAGGAAGCCGCCCCACUGCCCACAGGAGGGAGAGGAGGCCUGGGGAAGCUCAGCUCUGCAGCCAUGAGACUCCUCCACGUGGCCCUCACCGCGGCCUUCAUGGUCCUGCAGACGGCACCAGGGCAUUCAAUUUUGAAAGACCCUGCUACCUUCGUGGUGGGAUCUGCCUGAAGCAAGGGACACCAAACUGUGAGCCCUUCCGAGGCCCCUGCCGGGCGU
This is a long non-coding RNA of Ailuropoda melanoleuca (giant panda), 573 nucleotides long. RefSeq lists it as uncharacterized. The transcript is spliced from 3 exons. NCBI's taxonomy places the organism in Eukaryota, Metazoa, Chordata, Mammalia, Carnivora, Ursidae. The record is from RefSeq and is a predicted model, not a curated record.